GGGACAUGGCAUAGGACCUCGGUUCUAUUUUGUUGGUUUUCGGAAUCUGAGGUAAUGAUCAAUGGGGACAGGCGGGGGCAUUCGUAUUGCGACGUUAGAGGUGAAAUUCUUGGAUCGUCGCAAGACGGACCGAAGCGAAAGCAUUUGCCAAGUAUGUUCUCGUCGAUCAAGAACGAAAGUUAGAGGUUCGAAGGCGAUCAGAUACCGCCCUAGUUCUAACCAUAAACUAUGCCUGCCAGCGAUCCGCCGAAGUUCCUCCGAUGACUCGGCGGGCAGCUUCCGGGAAACCAGAGCUUUUGGGUUCCGGGGGAAGUAUGGUUGCAAAGCUGAAACUUAAAGGAAUUGACGGAAGGGCACCACCAGGAGUGGAGCCUGCGGCUUAAUUUGACUCAACACGGGAAAACUCACCAGGCCCGGACACCGGAAGGAUUGACAGAUUGAGAGCUCUUUCUUGAUUCGGUGGGUGGUGGUGCAUGGCCGUUCUUAGUUGGUGGAGCGAUUUGUCUGGUUAAUUCCGAUAACGAACGAGACUCUAGCCUACUAACUAGGCGUACCCGGUAUCCACAAUCGUGCUACCGGCGAUCAAAUUUCUUCUUAGAGGGACAGGCGGCUUCUAGCCGCACGAGACUGAGCAAUAACAGGUCUGUGAUGCCCUUAGAUGUCCUGGGCCGCACGCGCGCUACACUGAAGGAAUCAGCGUGUCUUCCCUGUCCGAAAGGACCGGGUAAUCCGCUGAACCUCCUUUGUGCUAGGGAUUGGGGCUUGCAAUUGUUCCCCAUGAACGAGGAAUUCCCAGUAAGCGCGAGUCAUAAGCUCGCGUUGAUAGCCCCCCUGCCCCCCUUUUA
RNAcentral lists this ribosomal RNA (845 nucleotides) under Pochazia shantungensis. RNAcentral describes it as "SSU rRNA". It matches the Rfam family "Eukaryotic small subunit ribosomal RNA", at positions 811 to 1664 of the family's 1831-position model. Lineage: Eukaryota; Metazoa; Arthropoda; Insecta; Hemiptera; Ricaniidae. The record is from RNAcentral.